UCGAACGAGAGGAGAAGGAAGCUUGCUUCUUUCAAAUCUAGUGGCAAACGGGUGAGUAACACGUAAACAACCUGCCUUCAGGAUGGGGACAACAGACGGAAACGACUGCUAAUACCGCAUAAGCCCACGGCCCGGCAUCGGGCUGCGGGAAAAGGAUUUAUUCGCUUCAGGAUGGACUCGCGUCCAAUUAGCUAGUUGGUGAGGUAACGGCCCACCAAGGCGACGAUCGGUAGCCGGACUGAGAGGUUGAACGGCCACAUUGGGACUGAGACACGGCCCAGACUCC
Molecule: ribosomal RNA, 286 nt
Filed under: uncultured Subdoligranulum sp.
Lineage: Bacteria; Bacillati; Bacillota; Clostridia; Eubacteriales; Oscillospiraceae
Description: partial 16S ribosomal RNA
Rfam family: Bacterial small subunit ribosomal RNA
Source: RNAcentral